RNAcentral lists this unclassified non-coding RNA (2135 nucleotides) under Leishmania donovani. RNAcentral describes it as "gene:LdHU3.28.1930(CDS-product:amastin-like_prote in)". The record is from RNAcentral. Lineage: Eukaryota; Euglenozoa; Kinetoplastea; Trypanosomatida; Trypanosomatidae.
CGUUCUACCUAACUGUCGUGCUCGCGCGUGUAGUGUGCGCGCUUUGCCCGCGGCAACAUCGACACCUCACCCACCGAGCCACACCCGAUCCCUCAGCAGGCUAAACGCGCCUGCGCAUACACUCCCACACACAGGGGGCAACAUGUCCCAAGUCGCGCGAGGAAAGAAGAUGUUCGACGACGUAUCCUCCUUUUCCGAGGAGGACGUCGUCGAUGACGAGGCGAUGAUGCAACACAAGGUCAAGUCACCGCCCAUGACGCACUCAGCGCAGCAUGUAGACGCUGCAGUUUUUCAUUUGACGGCGCUCUCAGCAACAACAGGUCCACAGGUUGAUAGCGAUGACGAUCCCAACGCCUUUGUGCCCAAGUCGGCGUCUUCAUUCCAGCAGGUGGCGGAGCCGGAGGGUGCUGGUGGAGAAGACGCGGGACACGUGACGAUGGUUGCACGCGUGUCCGUGUCGCUGACUCCGAAGGACUCUCCGCGAGUUGCAUCGCCAACGGAGUCGUCGGCGCAGGCUCAAGUGCUUGUGCAAUACCCCACAGUAACCAUGCAAGCUCUAAAGCAGCCCAAAUCCGCUGCGGCCGGCAACCUGCCGUGGAACAGGGCUGUUCUGGGCAGUGCCUCUGCGUACAGUGCACCGGCAGCCGUGUCACAGCGGCAGUCAUGGCCCGAAGAGGUCGAAGCCGCCGUAAGUCCUCAGCAGGCUGGCGCCGAUAGGGCGAGUUUGCGGAAGGGCCGUCGCCGCCCCUACACCCCUUGUGUGCAUAGCCUGCGCGUGAAUGAACGCGGCGGCGGUGCAGCCGCGACUGGUGCUGAAGGUCCCACUCCUGCGCAGCACCCUGAGCGAGUGGAAACGGAAGCGGGGGCAUUCGCCACCAUGGAGAACCGCGAGGAGGUCAAGAGGGCACGGCGUAGCCCUGACGAGUCCGAUGACGAGAUGUACGAGCAGUACACGCCAGCCUCGAUGAGCCGGGCAACGGCGGCGCAGAUAGAGUGCUCCGGCGAAGAAUAUGCGGCUCACUAUGGCGCGCACGCCGGCCUUAUACAAGGCUGGCACAGCGAACUCAGCAAGGACAAGGACUUCCCUUUCGCUUCGUACAUCUUCCCCCGCCUCAACUCAGCCUUGGCGAACUAUCAGGGAACCCGCACCGCGGUUGCCGCGGUGAAGCAGGGUGAUGCGAUGCCGCCCAACGCGGUGGAGACGUGCUGCGCGUACCUGAUGGUGACAGAUAUUCGCGUCGCUAUAUACCUCGUCGUGCUCUUCGUAUCGGUCGCGCUGGUACUGGUGUCGAUCCCCACGUCGCAGCUGGACAUCGUGGGCGCGGCUUGCCUCACCUACUGGGGCUACAAAAACAACUGCGACAACUCUACCUACACCAUCCCUCGGCCGCUGUACCCCACCCCCUAUAUCCGCAGACACCUCGGCGUCGGCGCCGCCUUCUCUAUCAUCACGCUGAUUGUGCUACUGGUGAAUUUCGCGGCUGCCGUCAUCGUCGUCUGCUGCCUAAAGGCGGCACCGCACACCAUCUCGUUCAACUCUCGUAUCGUCCUCGGCGCCCUCGGGUGUGUGGGAGUGUUCACGCAGCUGAUUUCAUGGGCGGUGGUGGCGAGAAUCUACAAUUCUGGUCACUACGCCGCAGGUGAGCUCGCAUACGGAGCCGGCUUCGGGCUUAAUCUCUCGUCGUGGGUGAUGCACCUUCUCGGUGUCACACUCGUCUUCGCUGUACCCUCUCAUUUUGUGAACCGCCACCAGCAGCGCGGCUGAAGACGAACGAGAUUGACUGGUGGCGAGCGCCCGAGACGCGUUACCGUGGGUGUGUGCGUGUGCGUGUGCGUGUACCCGUAUCCGAGGCUUCAUGCUCCUCUCCUCUCAAGCGGGGGCAUGUUUUCUUCCGCUUGCCGUCACGCACCGUCUGCCAGUGUUCAUCUCUCACCUGUGUGUGGUGGGUGUGCAAUGUGUACCACAAUUCCCUUCCCGCCGCCCCGCCGACGGUUCUCAGGGUUGUCCUGAGCUUUUACCUUUUGUUGCUGUUUUGUGGCGUUCUUGCCAUCCAUAGAGCUCUCGUCCUCGUCCCUCUUUUUUUUUAUGCGCGUCUCCUGGCGCGGGUGCAUGAUCUGCUGGUCUUUGCACAUAG